RNAcentral lists this unclassified non-coding RNA (336 nucleotides) under soil metagenome. RNAcentral's name for it is "partial contains 5.8S ribosomal RNA, internal transcribed spacer 2, and large subunit ribosomal RNA". The stretch from base 1 to 120 matches the Rfam family "5.8S ribosomal RNA", at positions 35 to 154 of the family's 154-position model. The record is from RNAcentral.
GAUGAAGAACGCAGCGAAAUGCGAUAAGUAGUGUGAAUUGCAGAAUUCAGUGAAUCAUCGAAUCUUUGAACGCACAUUGCGCCCCUUGGUAUUCCAUGGGGCAUGCCUGUUCGAGCGUCAUUUGUACCUUCAAGCUUUGCUUGGUGUUGGGUGUUUGUCUCGCCUUUGCGUGUAGACUCGCCUUAAAAUAAUUGGCAGCCGGCGUAUUGAUUUCGGAGCGCAGUACAUCUCGCGCUUUGCACUCAUAACGACAGCGUCCAAAAGUACAUUUUACACUCUUGACCUCGGAUCAGGUAGGGAUACCCGCUGAACUUAAGCAUCUCAAUAAGCGGAGGA